AUCCUGAGUACGGCCCAGCACGUGAAAUUGGGUCGGAAUCUGGGAGGACCAUCUCCCAAGGCUAAAUACUAACUAGUGACCGAUAGCGAACAAGUACCGUGAGGGAAAGGUGAAAAGAACCCCGGAAGGGGAGUGAAAUAGUUCUUGAAACCGUGUGCUUACAAGAAGUUCGAGGCCGUUAAUGGCUGAGAGCGUGCUUUUUGUAGAAUGAACCGGAGAGUUACGAUUGCGUGCAAGGUUAAGGUGCAAAGACUGGAGCCGUAGCGAAAGCGAGUCUUAAUAGGGCGAAUCAGUACGUAGUUGUAG
Molecule: ribosomal RNA, 306 nt
Filed under: Oenococcus oeni
Lineage: Bacteria; Bacillati; Bacillota; Bacilli; Lactobacillales; Lactobacillaceae
Description: bacterial LSU rRNA
Rfam family: Bacterial large subunit ribosomal RNA
Source: RNAcentral